Myotis myotis is the source of this 3645-nucleotide long non-coding RNA. RefSeq lists it as uncharacterized. The record is from RefSeq and is a predicted model, not a curated record. The transcript has 3 exons. NCBI's taxonomy places the organism in Eukaryota, Metazoa, Chordata, Mammalia, Chiroptera, Vespertilionidae.
GAUGUGAGAGAAACACAUCGAUUGGCUGCCUCCUGCAUGUGCCCCCACCAUGGCUCAGGUGAGAAGGACCCUGCAACCCAGGUACGUGCUCCUGACCAGAAUCGAACCCGGUACCACCUGGUCUGAGCUACAGAGUGAUAUAAAGAUGGUUGCUACUCAUGCUGGGGUUGCAGGAACCCAGGAGAGGCCAAGCUGUGCACCGAGGCGGCAGCUGCUAGUGCUGGGCCUGGGGCCACUAAGCAAGAGGUAGGAGGCAUGCCCAGGCCAGACGCUUCUUGUUCAGGGUUCGUGGAUCUUGGAGCCACGACAGGUCAUUUUUAUGGAAAAGCCACUGGAGAUGGCUUUGGUAAGCCCACAAGUUGUCAUUCAGUCAUCCCCUAUGGAGUGCCUACUAGAGAUCAGGUAUGGUUCCAGGGACAGGGGACCCUCCACUAUGCACAAAAAGUGAGCAGUCUUCUCGAAAUGUCAGGGUAGAUCUUUUUGUGUGUGUGUUAAUCCUCACCUGAGGAUAUUUUUUGCAUUGAUUCUUAGAGUGGAAGGGAGAGAGGAAGGGUGAGAGAGAGAGAUUAAUUUGAGAGAGACAUAUCUAUUGGUUGCCUGUUGCAUGCACCACGACCAGGGCCAGAAAUUGAACUUGCAACCCGAGUAUGUGCCCUAGACUGGAAAUCAAACCCAUGGCCCUUUGGUGGGCAGGCUGAUGCUCCAACCACUGAACACACCGGCCAAGGUAGGGGAGAUCUUUUCUGAUUGGGCUAUACCCCCUUUCUCCUGGGGGAGGGGUCAUGAAGUGUCAGUGAAAGUGUGAAGCUGGGCCAAGGCUACCUGGCUUGAUUAAAAUAGGGCAUUUGUUCAUGAAUACAUUUUCUUUAAAAAAGUCUUAUAAAGUGAAAUGUAUUUAAGACCUUCACUAAUUUAAAUCCCUUCAGAAGCCUGGGUAAGAAGUAACUUCCUUCUGAACUUCCCAGCAACCAUUGUAGCUUAAUUAAAGAAUGAAAAAAGUGGGUUUUUUUGCAAAUGUUACCCAGCCUAUCUAUCAAAGUACAUAAAUGCUGCUCUUGGACAGAAUAUGAGCAGGCCUGUGACGUGUGAAUAGACCACAACUGAGGAAAGAGCUGGGUGAUAUAACCUGGGGAAGCUGCUGAGGAAUCCGCUCCUCCAGCAUUAGCUGAACUUCCUAUUGUGUGUUCUCCAAGGUUAACAUGUGAACUACCUCACCUCCCUGGGCAAGCCCUGCCACGCCUUCCAUGACACUGUGUGGAGCCUCAUAACUUCCCUGUCCGACGUUACCAGGCCCCUCCUCUCUGCUGCUCAUCACACACAAAUCUUGGAGGGCAAAGUGCUGACAGUGAGUUCUCUCCUUCCCACAUGGGUAUCAUAGAGUAACUUCUAAUUUUAAAAACCAUUUGGUUUCAGAUGCAAGGCGAACUUCGCUGCAUAGUGACACCUGGCGAUAGCCUAAGGAGAUCCUAGAAAUCCCUGUGAGGCGCCUAUGUUUACUGUUGGUCACCGAGAUUGAGGCAAAGGGUUGCUUGAUCUUAUUUUAUCCUUUGGAGACUGGAAUUUUCCCUUUCACCAACUCUUACUAUUGUUCAUCACAUUUUAUCUGAAUGAAGUUAAGGUAGGGGUUAAGAUUUUAUCCACUUUAGUUAACACAUUAAGCGCCCUGUCGAUCAUCGGUGACUGACACUAUACUUUCCGUCCGGAAGACAAAACAGGCUGGGCGCUUAACGUGGUAAGGAUAUCUUUUGAGGCAGCGGUCGCCAACUUUUCGGACCUCACGGACCACCGGUUGGUGACCGCUGUUUUAAAGUACUUCAUUGUGGUUCACAAAUGUCAGUUGCUUCUAUAUGGCCUCACUGAUUGUCACAAUAAACCCUUAGCCAGUGGUUCUCAACCUUCCUAAUGCUGCGACCCUUUAAUACAGUUCCUCAUGUUGUGGUGACCCCCAAUUUCACUGUUACAAAUUGAACAUAAAGCAUAGUGAUUAAUCACAAAAACAAUAUGUAAUUAUGUAUGUGUUUUAUGAUGGUCUUAGGCGACCCCUGUGAAAGGGUUGUUCGAUCCCCAAAGGGGUCGUGACCCACAGGUUGAGAACUGCUGCGCUUAGAUGGUAAUGGUCCUAAGGUUUAAAAGUUAAUUCCAGUGUGUAGAAAGAAAAAUGUGCAGAGAGGUCAAGGGUCAAAGGUAAAUGUUUCAGAAGCCCACGUGACACACAAGGAACCAGAAUGCAGGCCUUAUUUCCGGACAUCAAUAAAUUCAUGUUACAGGCGUUCACCACUAAAACAGGAUCUUCGAUGAACGCCAACAGAGAAGUCCACUGUAAUGCAGCUCAUGCCAUAUUUCAGUCAAUACGACCUUCUGAAAAGAGAUGGCUCUGCCCUAGAGGUUGAAACAAGACUCUGAAUUGACAACUUGAAAUGAGCCACCAGUGGUGAGAAUCCUUUUUGAUGGUGUGAAACGGGACCCUAACUGCACGGACAGACCCUGGAGGCAUUUGCUGCCCAGCUUCCGCACAAAGGAGAGUGUGCAGCUGGGUAUCUACAGACCCUGGAUUUGCUGAAAAGGAUUAAGUGGGUAGAAACUGAGUGCUCUACGGAAUGGCCAGAUCAGUUAUUAAGACAGAACUUUGAUAUAGACCUGCUAGCUUUAGCGCCUGGAAGGAGUCUCCAAAUUCAGGGAAAAGGAAUGUUACUUUCACAAAUAAGAAAGAAAAAAAAAGCUGGCCCGAAUUUUUGUUGAUGAUAUGCUUACACAUCUCUUUGACUUCUGCCAGAUCAUUUUCUUCCUGUCAAGUGCAAGAAGGUUCCAGGGAGUCAUACUUUGGAAAAAAAAGCCCAGCCUUGUUCUAAUUGAUACAUUAAUUUUAAAGAGCAGGAGGGAAAUUUCCCUUUAGUGCAAUAUUGAAACAUCUCUCAUGAUGUGUAUUCAAGAUGCUGGCCCUCAACCUUUCUGUGUCCUUUCUGUGUCCUCCCUUUACCCUGCUCGAGGGGUUGGAUGCAAUCCUGGAAGGAGAAAGCGUAAGAAGUGAUAGCUGAUGCCUUGAGCAGCUCGUCGCUACCACUCCAGCAGCAGUGCGGAGUUGCAUCCAUGGCCCCCAAAUUCACACCUUCCUACCUUCUCCUGCUGAACCCUUGCCCCGGCCAUGUACUAAAGGGGUUCCCCAUGAAUGAUUCCUACGUGUGUUCCAUAAAGCAGGCUGUAUUUUCCCAAAAGAACAAUGCUAUGACUAAACAUAGAUUUGCUGAAAAUAUUUCACAAAAAGCAAACAUAGUCUACAGAGAAAUUUAAAGUGAAAAAUAGAUUGCAACAUUUCAUAAGAUGGUCACAAAUGUACUUUACAAGGAAACCAAUGUCCUAAAAUAUAUUUGUCCAGCAAACACAAGUACAAUUUUAUCACAAGUUUUACCUAUAUUAACAUGUCAGCAAUUGUAAGUAUUAAAUAUUUAACGAUAAUUUUGUCUUCUUAAAAGUUAGAAGGGCUUUCUGGGGAUGAUUUGGAUAUCCCACUUGCCUUAAAAAGUUUUUCAAGGAAGUCUGAAAUGAUAUCUUCUCUUGUGAUAAAUAUUCUCUAAUUUUUUUAAAACAUAUUUUAUUGAUUUUUUACAGAGAGGAAGAGAGAGGGAUAGAGAGUUAGAAACAUCGAUC